This 423-nucleotide ribosomal RNA is filed under the name uncultured Thermoprotei archaeon. RNAcentral describes it as "partial 16S ribosomal RNA". Lineage: Archaea; Thermoproteati; Thermoproteota; Thermoprotei. The record is from RNAcentral.
GGACUACGGGGGUAUCUAAUCCGGUUCGCUCCCCCAGCUUUCAUCCCUCACCGUCGGGCGCGUUCUAGCAGACAGCCUUCGCCACUGGUGGUCUUCCCGGGAUUAUAGGAUUUCACCCCUACCCCGGAAAUACCGUCUGCCUCUCUCGUCCCCUAGCCAAGCAGUAUCCCCCGCGAUCCAACGAUUAAUUCGUUGGAUUUAACAGGGGACUAACUUAGCCAGCUACGGAUGCUUUAGGCCCAAUAAACAUCCACACCACUCGGAGAGCUGGUAUUACCGCGGCGGCUGACACCAGACUUGCCCUCUCCUUAUUCCCCCAGCGUUCUAGACUGGGUAAAAGCCUUCCUCAGCGGAUGGCACUCGGGAUAGCCCUGUCACACUUUCGUGUAUUGCAAAGUUUUCGCGACUGCUGCACCCCAUAGG